This 2985-nucleotide long non-coding RNA is filed under the name Marmota monax (woodchuck). Lineage: Eukaryota; Metazoa; Chordata; Mammalia; Rodentia; Sciuridae. The record is from RNAcentral.
CAGAAUCAUACAGCAGGCAGCUGUGUAUUUGGUGUGUUACUGGCCCUGAGUUGGCAGUGCUUUCACACAGAAAACCCUCAUUACUUCCAGAAUGAGCUGGAUGUGGAUCAACACAGAAAGGAGACUGAAAUGAUGAUCCUAUAAUUGUAUCCUAUUUAAAACUCAUUACUUCAGAUUCUAUUGAGUUUAAAAUUUCAUCUCUUGGACUAGGAGGUUAUUGAUAGCUCUGUCUGUCGAGUGGGAUCUCCUAAAUCUUUUUUAGUGAAUAUUUCAUACAUUAACCCAUUUUAUUUCACAAAAAACUGGCCAUAAGGUCUAAUACCGUUUUCAGUAUCCAAAAUCGAGGACCAGCAUUUUUAUUUUUAGUCAUAUAAUUCUGAAAAUUGUGUUUUUGUGUGCCAGGACUUACAUAUAAGUGUGUUCAUGUAGUGUCAUAUGCAGUAGCUCUAAAUAAGUAUAACUGUAAUAUCCAAAGAUAAUAGAAAAUAUAACAGUGCAUUCAAAGCAUAUAUGAUCAUAUAGCAAUACAAUGAAUGAAAUAGAGCCAAACAUGACAUUAUAAGAGGAGCACAUACACAAAUAUAUCCAUGAGAUAUUUAACAGUAUUCAAAACUUGUAUAUUGGUGUUGCAUGCAUAGGUGUGGUCCUCUUUAGAAAUGAAAUGGGUUUUGGGAUGUAUCUCGGUGGUAGAGAACAUGCUUGCCAUAAGCAAGACCCUACAUUCAAUCGGCAGCACCAAAAAUAAAUAAGUAAUUUUAAAAAAUUAAAGCAAAGUAGUAAUUAUAAAAAUCAUGGCUAUGAUUCCCUCAAGAGGAAAAGAGGAGGAGUUGUUGAGGGCUUAUAGAAUAGGCAUUCAAUAUAAUGGGGAACCUAAAAUCUAUCAAGAUAAAUACUACUUGAUGCAAUAUAUAUGAAAUACAAAUUAAUGCAAAAAUACAUGAUAAGAUAUCCCAUUUUUAAAGUCAGGUCAUUAGGGGGCUGGCAGUGUUCUUUCUUUUGACCUGUGUGGUAAGUUGUUCUCAUUUGCCUUCAUUGGACUGUAUGUCUACAUUCACUGCACUUUUCUGACUUGUAUUUCAAAAAAAUUGAAAAAGGUAGUGAAAAUUGACACAGGCUCUUCAUUUCUUGUAAUACUUCUUUAGUUCCAUGUUUUUGUCAUGUAAUGAAGAUUUCUCCUAGUUUCUUUUAAAUUCUGACAUUUAAAAUUAUAACAACAAUGAUAUUGCCAAAUAAAAUCUCCAGUGAUUUUUGACAGUAGGUUUAGAUUGCUCAUCAGAAAGUUGGCUCUGUGCUUGCCUCUAUUUUGGCAUCCAAAUAUUCAAUUUAACUCCAGGUAUCAACCUGCUUUAUGGCUCUCUUUCUUACCUGAAUAAUUAACCUGUGAAUGGUUGGUUCACAUUAGAACAAUUAGUUAGUUGAUUGCUGUAGUGUAAAUGAGGUUGUUAACAUGCCAUGUUUUUUUCAUGUUUUGGAGGGUUUUUCCACACCUUGCCUCUAUUCAACCGUGUAAUCACAGAGAUCAGUCCUGUUUUCAUACAAAGUAUUAAUCUAGUUCAGUAUUUCACAAAUUGGGUUUCAUGUUGAGAUUUAUAUAUGAACUAUAAAGUUAUUUACAGAGAAUAAGAUUAAUGUUGGCCUGUAUUGACACAAGAACUUUUUUGGAUGCUUUUUAUAGUGUAGGGUGCCUAAUUGACUAAAAAGCAGGUCAUUACACUGUUACAAAGAGAAUAUAGCUUUAUAAAAAUAAAGUCUGACAAUAAACUGAUGAAUACUGUUUUACCUUUGAUAAUAAAUAUUUCUUCAGAUUGAAAAUUUUAAAUUUGGGUAAGUAGAAGCCUGAGAAGGGGGGUUGGUAAAAAACUGGGGAAGUCACCCAGAAUCUGACAGGCAUGUUUUGUUUAUUUAAUUGGCCUGUUUUUUGUUUAUGUUUCCUUGAUUUGAUUUGAACAAAAGAUUUCAGUUUGAUAGCUCUGUCUAUAGUAAGAAAUACUUACUAAGUCCUACACUGUGCCAGGCAAUUGAAAAAAUUGAUAUAAUAUGGUAACCGAAUAGAUAAGAUCUUUGCCUCCUAGAAUUUAUAGAAUAGUUCUUUAAGGAUGUUCUCUCAUAUUUAAAAGUUUAGUAAACAAAAUUUUAAAUAUCAAAGCAAAUGGCUCUUUUCUUUCACAGUAACCACUCUUCAUAGAUUGCUAACCUUCCAGACCACUUUAUAAUAUAUAAACACAUUUAGCUUACCAAAAUGGAAUCUUUCAUAAGAAGAUAUUUUUGAAGCUUCCCAUCUUAUUACAUAUAGAUCUAUCCUAUUGUUUUUUAAGCCUACGUAGUAUUAACCUCUAUGAAUAUAACAGAACCUAUUUGCUACUCAUUGAUAACCAUUAAAUUGGAUUUAUACAUGGUGCUGCAAUGAGCAUGUUUUACUUCUAAGCAUUUAGCUCCAUCAGUAUGUCUUUUUAAGUACAUGAAACAAUUUUUUUCUCACAAAGAACUAUGAGGACUCUAAUUUUGGCAUGAAUUACAAAAACUAAUUCUACACAUGGAGACUUUGGGGCCAAGGUUACACAGUAAAAUGUCAUUACCUGUCUGUUGUCUGUACUUGGAGAGGAAUCCCAUAGGAACACUGAAGGGGUGGAGAUGAGUUCCCUCCCCUAUCAUACGCAUUUCUUCUUCUUUUUCCCCCCCAGGCAGGUAGUAUCAACCACUCUGCUCCAUCUUGGAUUUACAAGAAAUUUCAUUACUGAAAGUUACUAAAUCUUAGUUUAGUAAAGGGAAGAAAUGAAACACAAGGAAACCAAAUACAAACUAAAUUUACAAUAAUUUCUUUUUCCUUUUCACCAGCUUACUUUGUUGGUCAAAUCUGCAAGCAUUGUUAACUUCAGCUCUUGUCUUAUGAGGAAAUGAUAGCAUUUGGUUAUGAUGCCAAAUUAGCCAAAUUAUAGUCUAGAUAAACUGGUUUUUAAAAACAUUUUCAUUUUAUGUUCAAAAUAG